GUAAGCUACUAAGAGCGAAUGGUGGAUGCCUUGACUGGUAAAGGCGAUGAAGGACGUACUAGACUGCGAUAAGCUACGGGGAGCUGUCAAGAAGCUUUGAUCCGUAGAUUUCCGAAUGGGGCAACCCAAUGUAUAGAGAUAUACAUUACCUAUAUAGGAGCGAACGAGGGGAAUUGAAACAUCUUAGUACCCUCAGGAAAAGAAAUCAAUAGAGAUUGCGUCAGUAGCGGCGAGCGAAAGCGCAAGAGGGCAAACCCAGUGCUUGCACUGGGGGUUGUAGGACUGCAAUGUGCAAGAGGUAAGUUUAGCAGAACAUUCUGGAAAGUAUAACCAUAGAGGGUGAUAGUCCCGUAUGCGAAAAACAAACCUUAGCUAGCAGUAUCCUGAGUAGGGCGGGACACGAGGAAUCCUGUCUGAAUCCGGGUCGACCACGAUCCAACCCUAAAUACUAAUACCAGAUCGAUAGUGCACAAGUACCGUGAGGGAAAGGUGAAAAGAACUGAGGUGAUCAGAGUGAAAUAGAACCUGAAACCAUUUGCUUACAAUCAUUCAGAGCCCUAUGUAGCAAUACAGGGUGAUGGACUGCCUUUUGCAUAAUGAGCCUGCGAGUUGUGGUGUCUGGCAAGGUUAAGCAAACGCGAAGCCGUAGCGAAAGCGAGUCUGAAUAGGGCGCUUAGUCAGAUGCUGCAGACCCGAAACGAAGUGAUCUAUCCAUGAGCAAGUUGAAGCUAGUGUAAGAACUAGUGGAGGACUGAACCCAUAGGCGUUGAAAAGCCCCGGGAUGACUUGUGGAUAGGGGUGAAAGGCCAAUCAAACUUCGUGAUAGCUGGUUCUCUCCGAAAUAUAUUUAGGUAUAGCGUUGUGUCGUAAUAUAAGGGGGUAGAGCACUGAAUGGGCUAGGGCAUACACCAAUGUACCAAACCCUAUCAAACUCCGAAUACCUUAUAUGUAAUCACAGCAGUCAGGCGGCGAGUGAUAAAAUCCGUCGUCAAGAGGGAAACAACCCAGACUACCAGCUAAGGUCCCUAAAUCUUACUUAAGUGGAAAACGAUGUGAAGUUACUUAAACAACCAGGAGGUUGGCUUAGAAGCAGCCAUCCUUUAAAGAAAGCGUAAUAGCUCACUGGUCUAGUGAUUUUGCGCGGAAAAUAUAACGGGGCUAAAGUAAGUACCGAAGCUGUAGACUUGCACACAACUUAGAUUAUUUAAGUUUAGAAUAUGAGAAACUAAGUUAUAUGUUUAGUUAUAUUUUUACUGAUUUUUAUAGAGUAAAGAUAGAAAUAAAACUUAGUAAAAUCAGUAAAAAUAUUCUUAGACUAAAGUUAAGUAGUUUAAGUUGUGUGCAAGUGGUAGGAGAGCGUUCUAUUUGCGUCGAAGGUAUACCGGUAAGGAGUGCUGGAGCGAAUAGAAGUGAGCAUGCAGGCAUGAGUAGCGAUAAUUAAUGUGAGAAUCAUUAACGCCGUAAACCCAAGGUUUCCUACGCGAUGCUCGUCAUCGUAGGGUUAGUCGGGUCCUAAGUCGAGUCCGAAAGGGGUAGACGAUGGCAAAUUGGUUAAUAUUCCAAUACCAACAUUAGUGUGCGAUGGAAGGACGCUUAGGGCUAAGGGGGCUAGCGGAUGGAAGUGCUAGUCUAAGGUCGUAGGAGGUUAUACAGGCAAAUCCGUAUAACAAUACUCCGAGAACUGAAAGGCUUUUUGAAGUCUUCGGAUGGAUAGAAGAACCCCUGAUGCCGUCGAGCCAAGAAAAGUUUCUAAGUUUAGCUAAUGUUGCCCGUACCGUAAACCGACACAGGUGGGUGGGAUGAGUAUUCUAAGGCGCGUGGAAGAACUCUCUUUAAGGAACUCUGCAAAAUAGCACCGUAUCUUCGGUAUAAGGUGUGGUUAGCUUUGUAUUAGGAUUUACUCCGAAAGCAAGGAAACUUACAACAAAGAGUCCCUCCCGACUGUUUACCAAAAACACAGCACUCUGCUAACUCGUAAGAGGAUGUAUAGGGUGUGACGCCUGCCCGGUGCUCGAAGGUUAAUUGAUGGGGUUAGCAUUAGCGAAGCUCUUGAUCGAAGCCCGAGUAAACGGCGGCCGUAACUAUAACGGUCCUAAGGUAGCGAAAUUCCUUGUCGGUUAAAUACCGACCUGCAUGAAUGGCGUAACGAGAUGGGAGCUGUCUCAAAGAGGGAUCCAGUGAAAUUGUAGUGGAGGUGAAAAUUCCUCCUACCCGCGGCAAGACGGAAAGACCCCGUGGACCUUUACUACAGCUUGACACUGCUACUUGGAUAAGAAUGUGCAGGAUAGGUGGGAGGCUUUGAGUAUAUGACGCCAGUUGUAUAUGAGCCAUUGUUGAGAUACCACUCUUUCUUAUUUGGGUAGCUAACCAGCUUGAGUUAUCCUCAAGUGGGACAAUGUCUGGUGGGUAGUUUGACUGGGGCGGUCGCCUCCCAAAUAAUAACGGAGGCUUACAAAGGUUGGCUCAGAACGGUUGGAAAUCGUUCGUAGAGUAUAAAGGUAUAAGCCAGCUUAACUGCAAGACAUACAAGUCAAGCAGAGACGAAAGUCGGUCUUAGUGAUCCGGUGGUUCUGUGUGGAAGGGCCAUCGCUCAAAGGAUAAAAGGUACCCCGGGGAUAACAGGCUGAUCUCCCCCAAGAGCUCACAUCGACGGGGAGGUUUGGCACCUCGAUGUCGGCUCAUCGCAUCCUGGGGCUGGAGCAGGUCCCAAGGGUAUGGCUGUUCGCCAUUUAAAGCGGUACGCGAGCUGGGUUCAGAACGUCGUGAGACAGUUCGGUCCCUAUCUGCCGUGGGCGUAAGAAGAUUGAAGAGAUUUGACCCUAGUACGAGAGGACCGGGUUGAACAAACCACUGGUGUAGCUGUUGUUCUGCCAAGAGCAUCGCAGCGUAGCUAAGUUUGGAAAGGAUAAACGCUGAAAGCAUCUAAGCGUGAAGCCAACUCUAAGAUGAAUCUUCUCUAAGCUCUCUAGAAGACUACUAGUUUGAUAGGCUGGGUGUGUAAUGGAUGAAAGUCCUUUAGCUGACCAGUACUAAUAGAGCGUUUGGCUUAUC
Molecule: ribosomal RNA, 3051 nt
Filed under: Campylobacter jejuni
Lineage: Bacteria; Pseudomonadati; Campylobacterota; Epsilonproteobacteria; Campylobacterales; Campylobacteraceae
Description: Bacterial large subunit ribosomal RNA
Rfam family: Bacterial large subunit ribosomal RNA
Source: RNAcentral